CUGCAGUCAGCCAGUCAGUCAGUCAGUCAGUCAUUCAGCCAGUCAGCCAGCCAGCCAGCCAAAUGAAUGUGAGUGAUUUCAUUACUGUCGUGUUGCUAGUGGAGCUGGAGACAGCAGCUGCUACAGGAAAUCUGAGGAUUUCUGAGGAAAUACAGGAAGUCUCCAUAAAUUCAGCCAGCUGACAUUUAGGACUACGUAAAUACAUUACUUUGGUUUGAAGAUGAGAAGAAUAGACAUCCAGCGAAGGGAGAUGAAAUAUGGCGUCUGUCUUAGUAAUGCUGCUGUUACAAAUUGUUCAUGCAUGAUGCCAAACCAACGGUAAAGCUCUACUACUAACCAUGAGAAACAACUCAGAACUAACUGUCUGUGUGAUUAAGUUCGUAAUGCGUAGACGGGCAUUUUGUUUCAUCACACUCACAGGUAGGCAUAUUUACCAUAUGUAGGUAUAUUUACCCUAUGUAAGCAUAUUUACCCUAUGUAGGUAUAUUUACCCUAUGUAGGCAUAUUUACCCUAUGUAGGUAUAUAUACCCUAUGUAGGUAUAUUUACAGUAUGUAGGCAUAUUUACCCUAUGUAGGUAUAUUUACCCUAUGUAAGCAUAUUUACCCUAUGUAGGUAUAUUUACCCUAUGUAAGCAUAUUUACCCUAUGUAUGCAUAUUUACCCUAUGUAGGCAUAUUUACCCUAUGUAUGCAUAUUUAACCUAUGUAGGAAUAUUUACCCUAUGUAGGUAUAUUUACCCUAUGUAGGCAUAUUUAACCUAUGUAGGCAUAUUUACCCUAUGUAGGCACAUUUACCCUAUGUAGGCCAUGGCACAUAUCUUCAAUUCAUCUGCUGUUGUUUUGCGUGUCAGAGACUUGAAAGGCCAAUACGGUUCUGCAGAAAAAGAGUUUCAUUUCCCUGUUCUUUCUGAAACCACUUCAGCACUACUCACCACAAGUUCCUCCUGCAAACGUUACAUGAACCGUAUGGCACUCUGGUACAUCUCUGUCCUCUCAGAAGACACAGCAGCUAUGCAUACUUUGUGUCUCGGCGGGGAAAAUGCACUAGCUAGAAUUUGGGAAUAGCUCUCUGUGGAAGUAAAUUCAUGAAGUUAGAAUUUAUUUGGGCCACACACAGGUUAAGAGUUUGUUGGGUCAAUUCUGUACGAUCGUGG
This 1154-nucleotide long non-coding RNA is filed under the name Salmo salar (Atlantic salmon). Its description in RNAcentral is "lncRNA (ENSSSAG00000108888.1)". Lineage: Eukaryota; Metazoa; Chordata; Actinopteri; Salmoniformes; Salmonidae. The record is from RNAcentral.